GACCUCUCGAACUAAAAGCAAACAAUAGCAUUCGAAAGAAUAGAUUAUCAUGGUGUGCUGCACUUAUAGCUCAUUGGGAACGAUAUGCUGUUUUGCGAAUUGCUCAGACUACUAUUUGCGGCCAUAUAGUUUGCUAAUAUAACUUUUUCACUAUAUCGAUUCAAACAAAGUCGGUAUUAAACAUUAGGUGCAUCGUGGUCCCGGAUCGAGAGUGUUUUAUUUUCUAUUAAAUGGUUUCAUCAGAAGUUCAGUUUCCGCGUUUGCGAUUACAGAUUAAACCCGACCAUACUUUAUUUACAAUAUCUAAUCUGAUAUGGAGUGCAGAUUACGAUAUACACAUGUAAUUGCUGAAAACAUAUGGAUACAACGGUGGAUCAAUAACCCGGCCAGGGCAUAAUAUAUCUAGCUUGUGUGCAUUGCUGAGCCGUAAAGGACUACAUAUUUUUGUGCAUCAGAGAUAGACCUUUGACCCAGUAUAGUGUCUACUUGUUGCUCGUAGUUGUGCUGUUCAUGGGGAUCCUAGUCAUGGAUUCCACGACAACAACUCCCUCAACCGGCUCUAAACUCGACGAUGACCUCAAACUCACAAUCAUCUUCUCUGUGGUCGCUGUCGUGUGUUUCAUCUCUCUUAUCAUGCUCCUUUACUACAUCACAAGAACUGCGAGACGACAAUUCAAAGAGGCAGAGGAAAAACUCGCAAAAGAAAAAGAAAGAAUUCAAUAUGAAAGAUAUCAGGAAAGAGCAACAUUGCGAGGUGGGGGUUUUCCAAGUGUAACAAGUGCUGAUAGAACUGAUAUUUUUGUAAUACAUGAUUCAUCGAAAGACUCACAUUUAAGAAGACUGUGAUGGGAAGAUUGAGCUCAAUAAUAAUCUCAAUAUAGGCCUAUAUUAGGCCUAUGUUUUGUAAUAUUUUCUUAUAUUCACAAAGUGUUUUGAUCCACGGAAUGAUCUAAGAUUCCCUACAAGAGGGGACACACAAACCCUUCUUCGGUUAUUUCACCACCACCCCACCCCAAAUAAAGGGAUAUUUCCUAAUUCGCGAGCUCAACCGGAAAUAAAUAUUUUCCUAUUGAGCCUCUUUCUUUGCAAAAUACAUACAUACUAUAAUAAUUUAGAAUUAUAUUACCUUAGACAUGUUAGAAGGCACUGUGCUCCAGCUGCAGGGACAAGAUAUUUUCUCUGCUCUCUCUGUCAUUUACUUACAUUUAUGAUAAAACAGGGAUCAGAAAAAAGGAAGUUGAUUGUCAAAAUUGGUUAAUUGAUAGACAUAAGUUUAUUGUUCUUGGCAUACAAAUUAUAUCUACAAUUAUCCCAAAGAAAGAAGUCAUUCUACACGUUGUUUAGACUCAUUCAUUUAUCCCGACUACUUUGUGGAAAAUUACGUUUAAAGUUGAUCUCAGCAACAAUAAAAAACUUACGUAAUUGCAAUUCAUCAGUGAUCACUGAAACAUUGUGCAUUUGGUGUAAUAACUGAAGGGAUUUAUAAAUGAGUUCUUUAGAAGUGUGACUUGUCCAUUGUCCACUGCGUGUUGAAAACGGUAAAUGAUUCAAACGACUCUUACAUGACUGCACACCGUUUAACUUUCCCGCUUCCCAGCUGAUUUGAAUACUUGGAAUGCAAAGCAUGUAACCAACAAUAGGAAAAACAUACUAUUCUAAAUGUUUUUCGCAUUAUAAUUCGGGCUUGAGUACGGGAAGCAAACGCCCCUAUACGUAAGCCUCGUUUGCCUCGA
RNAcentral lists this long non-coding RNA (1733 nucleotides) under Lytechinus variegatus (green sea urchin). RNAcentral's name for it is "uncharacterized LOC121431083". The record is from RNAcentral. Lineage: Eukaryota; Metazoa; Echinodermata; Echinoidea; Temnopleuroida; Toxopneustidae.